RNAcentral lists this long non-coding RNA (226 nucleotides) under Elaeis guineensis (African oil palm). Its description in RNAcentral is "long non-coding RNA (EGUI_LNC077976)". The record is from RNAcentral. Lineage: Eukaryota; Viridiplantae; Streptophyta; Magnoliopsida; Arecales; Arecaceae.
ACCUGGCCCAUAAAGAGUUAGUCCCUUGAGGCCCACAUAACCUAGACCUCAAGUACCCGAAAGGCCCACAGCCUUUCAACCUAAGGCCCAACUAGCCCUAGAGUCUCCAUGAAGCCCUCAUGAAUGAUAGACCUUGGCCUUAGCCUUGGUCCCCUGGGCCUUGGGCACACCACCUGGAUCAUAACAAGGAUGGGGUUGGGUCCAAUAACUAUUAGGUGAGGGACCC